RNAcentral lists this ribosomal RNA (492 nucleotides) under Triticum aestivum (bread wheat). RNAcentral describes it as "partial small subunit ribosomal RNA". Lineage: Eukaryota; Viridiplantae; Streptophyta; Magnoliopsida; Poales; Poaceae. The record is from RNAcentral.
AUGGCGUCCAAGGGUCUUCUUGUGUUUGCUCUCCUGCUUGCUGCUGCUAUCCUCGUCGCCUCAACUGAACAAACUCAGGCCAAGAAGGAGGAGAAGAAAGCCGGUGUAGAGGGCUACGGCGGCGGCGGCGGCUACCCUGGAGGCGGCGGGGGAGGCUACCCAGGCCACGGUGGAGGAGGAGGCGGCGGCUAUCCAGGACACGGUGGAGGAGGAGGCGGCGGCUAUCCAGGACACGGUGGAGGAGGUGGCGGUGGCUACCCGGGCCACGGUGAAGGAGGCGGUGGCGGCUACCCAGGCGGUGGUGGUGGUGGCGGCGGCGGCUACCCCGGACACGGCGGUGGCGGCGGCGGUGGCUACCCCGGACACGGCGGACGCGGCGGCGGCAGUGGAUGUCAAUGGGGCUGCUGCGGUAACGGGUACCAUGGGUGCCGCUGCUGUGCGCGCGCGGACGAGGUCCCGGAGCCCAUGUACCGCGCGGAGGUCCGCAACUGA